This 72-nucleotide transfer RNA is filed under the name Camelus ferus (Wild Bactrian camel). It matches the Rfam family "tRNA". From Rfam's summary of the family: Transfer RNA (tRNA) molecules are approximately 80 nucleotides in length. Lineage: Eukaryota; Metazoa; Chordata; Mammalia; Artiodactyla; Camelidae. The record is from Rfam by way of RNAcentral.
CGUGGUAUGGCUCAGUGGUAGAGCACAUGCUUAGCAUGCAUGAGGUUCUGGGUUCAAUCCCCGGUACCUCCA